UACAGAGGUGGCAAGCGUUGUUCGGAAUUACUGGGCGUAAAGGGCGCGUAGGCGGUCUUCUAAGUCCUGUGUGAAAUCCCUCGGCUCAACUGAGGAACUGCACGGGAUACUGGAUGACUUGAGUUCGGGAGAGGGAAGCGGAAUUCCGGGUGUAGCGGUGAAAUGCGUAGAUAUCCGGAGGAACACCGGUGGCGAAGGCGGCUUCCUGGACCGAUUACUGACGCUGAGGCGCGAAAGCAUGGGGAGCGAACAGG
This 254-nucleotide ribosomal RNA is filed under the name uncultured bacterium. RNAcentral describes it as "partial 16S ribosomal RNA". It matches the Rfam family "Bacterial small subunit ribosomal RNA", at positions 524 to 776 of the family's 1533-position model. The record is from RNAcentral.